GAUGAACGCUGGCGGCGUGCCUAAUACAUGCAAGUCGAGCGAACAGACGAGGAGCUUGCUUCUCUGACGUUAGCGGCGGACGGGUGAGUAACACGUGGAUAACCUACCUAUAAGACUGGGAUAACGUCGGGAAACCGGAGCUAAUACCGGAUAAUAUAUUGAACCGCAUGGUUCAAUAGUGAAAGACGGUUUUGCUGUCACUUAUAGAUGGAUCCGCGCCGCAUUAGCUAGUUGGUAAGGUAACGGCUUACCAAGGCAACGAUGCGUAGCCGACCUGAGAGGGUGAUCGGCCACACUGGAACUGAGACACGGUCCAGACUCCUACGGGAGGCAGCAGUAGGGAAUCUUCCGCAAUGGGCGAAAGCUUGACGGAGCAACGCCGCGUGAGUGAUGAAGGUCUUCGGAUCGUAAAACUCUGUUAUUAGGGAAGAACAAAUGUGUAAGUAACUAUGCACGUCUUGACGGUACCUAAUCAGAAAGCCACGGCUAACUACGUG
RNAcentral lists this ribosomal RNA (497 nucleotides) under uncultured bacterium. RNAcentral describes it as "partial 16S ribosomal RNA". It matches the Rfam family "Bacterial small subunit ribosomal RNA", at positions 28 to 507 of the family's 1533-position model. The record is from RNAcentral.